Molecule: ribosomal RNA, 186 nt
Filed under: Triticum aestivum (bread wheat)
Lineage: Eukaryota; Viridiplantae; Streptophyta; Magnoliopsida; Poales; Poaceae
Description: partial small subunit ribosomal RNA
Source: RNAcentral
AUUCUACAAACAGUCAAAUAUAAACCUUGUCGGUCUUCUUUCCUCGUGGACAGGAAACACACCAGCGGUAUGCGUUGGGUGAUUCCAUUGUGCCUUUUGCAGUUGACCGGAAUAUCACUUUGUUUCGCGUGGCCAACAAGCAAGAGUAAGGGUUUUCGACACCUUCGGUGGAGUAUUAACCAAUAG